GGUGCUAUAGUGUAGUGGUUAUCACUCGGGAUUUUGAUUGAUUCGAACUUCCCGAAACCCAGGUUCGAACCCUGGUAGCACCU
Molecule: non-coding RNA, 83 nt
Organism: Arthromyces matolae
Lineage: Eukaryota; Fungi; Basidiomycota; Agaricomycetes; Agaricales; Lyophyllaceae
Source: the annotation of a GenBank genome assembly